RNAcentral lists this ribosomal RNA (480 nucleotides) under uncultured bacterium. Its description in RNAcentral is "partial 16S ribosomal RNA". It matches the Rfam family "Bacterial small subunit ribosomal RNA", at positions 30 to 507 of the family's 1533-position model. The record is from RNAcentral.
AUUGAACGCUGGCGGCAGGCUUAACACAUGCAAGUCGAACGAUGAAACUCUAGCUUGCUAGUGAUGAUUAGUGGCGGACGGGUGAGUAACAUUUAGGAAUCUGCCUAGUAGUGGGGGAUAGCUCGGGGAAACUCGAAUUAAUACCGCAUACGACCUACGGGUGAAAGGGGGCGCAAGCUCUUGCUAUUAGAUGCGCCUAAAUCAGAUUAGCUAGUUGGUGGGGUAAAGGCCCACCAAGGCGACGAUCUGUAACUGGUCUGAGAGGAUGAUCAGUCACACCGGAACUGAGACACGGUCCGGACUCCUACGGGAGGCAGCAGUGGGGAAUAUUGGACAAUGGGGGCAACCCUGAUCCAGCCAUGCCGCGUGUGUGAAGAAGGCCUUUUGGUUGUAAAGCACUUUAAGCAGGGAGGAGAGGCUAAUGGUUAAUACCCAGUAGAUUAGACGUUACCUGCAGAAUAAGCACCGGCUAACUCUGUG